This 70-nucleotide transfer RNA is filed under the name Phrynosoma platyrhinos (Desert horned lizard). RNAcentral describes it as "tRNA-OTHER". The record is from RNAcentral. Lineage: Eukaryota; Metazoa; Chordata; Lepidosauria; Squamata; Phrynosomatidae.
GCCAGCAUGGUCUAGUGGUUUGAGCAUAAGACUAGGACUCUGGAGAUCUGGGUUCGAUUCUCCAAUGGCC